RNAcentral lists this ribosomal RNA (484 nucleotides) under uncultured bacterium. RNAcentral's name for it is "partial 16S ribosomal RNA". It matches the Rfam family "Bacterial small subunit ribosomal RNA", at positions 30 to 507 of the family's 1533-position model. The record is from RNAcentral.
AUUGAACGCUGGCGGCAGGCCUAACACAUGCAAGUCGAGCGGAUGAAGGGAGCUUGCUCCUGGAUUCAGCGGGGGACGGGUGAGUAAUGCCUAGGAAUCUGCCUGGUAGUGGGGGAUAACGUCCGGAAACGGGCGCUAAUACCGCAUACGUCCUGAGGGAGAAAGUGGGGGAUCUUCGGACCUCACGCUAUCAGAUGAGCCUAGGUCGGAUUAGCUAGUUGGUGGGGUAAAGGCAUACCAAGGCGACGAUCCGUAACUGGUCUGAGAGGAUGAUCAGUCACACUGGAACUGAGACACGGUCCAGACUCCUACGGGAGGCAGCAGUGGGGAAUAUUGGACAAUGGGCGAAAGCCUGAUCCAGCCAUGCCGCGUGUGUGAAGAAGGUCUUCGGAUUGUAAAGCACUUUAAGUUGGGAGGAAGGGCAGUAAGUUAAUACCUUGCUGUUUUGACGUUACCAACAGAAUAAGCACCGGCUAACUUCGUG